AUACGGAGGGUCCAAGCGUUAUCCGGAUUCAUUGGGUUUAAAGGGUUCGCAGGCGGCGUAUUAAGUCAGUGGUGAAAUCCCGAGGCUCAACCUCGGAACUGCCAUUGAUACUGGUAUGCUAGAGUAUAGUUGGCGUUGGCGGAAUGUAUCAUGUAGCGGUGAAAUGCUUAGAUAUGAUACAGAACACCGAUCGCGAAGGCAGCUAACGAAACUAUAACUGACGCUCAGGAACGAAAGCGUGGGGAGCGAACAGGAUUAGAAACCCCAGUAGUCC
This 274-nucleotide ribosomal RNA is filed under the name uncultured bacterium. RNAcentral describes it as "partial 16S ribosomal RNA". It matches the Rfam family "Bacterial small subunit ribosomal RNA", at positions 523 to 796 of the family's 1533-position model. The record is from RNAcentral.